AGCAGCCGCGGUAAUUCCAGCUCCAAUAGCGUAUAUUAAAGUUGUUGCACGUUAAAAAGCUCGUAGUUGAAUUUCGGGGUUAGUAGGUUGGUCAUGCCUCUGGUAUGUACUGGUCUCACUGAUUCCUCCUUCCUGAUGAGCCGUAAUGCCAUUAAUUUGGUGUUGCGGGGAAUUUGGACUGUUACUUUGAAAAAAUUAGAGUGUUUAAAGCAAGCUAACGCUUGAAUACAUUAGCAUGGAAUAAUGAAAUAGGACGUUCGAUCCUAUUUUGUUGGUUUCUAGGGUUGACGUAAUGAUUAAUAGGGAUAGUUGGGGGCAUUAGUAUUCAAUUGUCAGAGGUGAAAUUCUUGGAUUUAUUGAAGACUAACUACUGCGAAAGCAUUUGCCAAGGAUGUUUUCAUUAAUCAAGAACGAAAGUUAGGGGAUCGAAGACGAUCAGAUACCGUCGUAGUCUUAACCAUAAACUAUGCCGACUAGGGAUCGGAUGAUGUUAAUUUUUUAAUGACUCA
This 509-nucleotide ribosomal RNA is filed under the name uncultured Glomus. RNAcentral describes it as "SSU rRNA". It matches the Rfam family "Eukaryotic small subunit ribosomal RNA", at positions 569 to 1078 of the family's 1831-position model. The record is from RNAcentral. Lineage: Eukaryota; Fungi; Glomeromycota; Glomeromycetes; Glomerales; Glomeraceae.